ACGGUUAUAAAUCAACAUAUUGAUCUAUAAGCAUGGAAAUCCCCUGAGUGAAACAACGAAUUGCUGUGUGUAGUCUUUGCCCAUCUCCCACGAUGGGCUUUUUUUUAA
This 108-nucleotide non-coding RNA is filed under the name Escherichia coli. RNAcentral's name for it is "antisense sRNA RprA". It matches the Rfam family "RprA RNA". Rfam says of the family: Translational regulation of the stationary phase sigma factor RpoS is mediated by the formation of a double-stranded RNA stem-loop structure in the upstream region of the rpoS messenger RNA, occluding the translation initiation site. Clones carrying rprA (RpoS regulator RNA A) increased the translation of RpoS. The record is from RNAcentral. Lineage: Bacteria; Pseudomonadati; Pseudomonadota; Gammaproteobacteria; Enterobacterales; Enterobacteriaceae.